RNAcentral lists this long non-coding RNA (454 nucleotides) under Capsicum annuum. Its description in RNAcentral is "long non-coding RNA (CANN_LNC013761)". Lineage: Eukaryota; Viridiplantae; Streptophyta; Magnoliopsida; Solanales; Solanaceae. The record is from RNAcentral.
GAAGGUUGGGAUAGAGUAGGUUCUACCAUGACCUCAGAUUUUGGGUCAUGAGAAAUUAUUCAUCGGUCUAAUUAGUAAAAUAGCAAGAUAUCUAAUAGAAUCUUGUGGAUUGAUAUGUUGAUAUUUGUAUCUAUCUUCGGGAGGCUACGGGAUACUCUUAGGGAAAACUUCUCUAAUUUGAUUCCUUAUCAUUUGUAUUUGUCAUGUUCAGUACUCUAAACUUGUAUUCCACUCUUUUUUGCUCAGAUAGUGAGGACCAGAUCUAGAGUUGUUGAGGAUGUUGGCCAACACUCGCUAUUUGAGUCCUAGUCAAGGUACGAGGCAAGGGUCAUGACCGAGACAGAGGUAGUGGAUGGGCAUAAAAAGUGGAUUUUUCUAGGGUACAAGAUUGAUUAGCCUCACUCAAUCAUGAGAUUAAGUUUGAAGAGGUGUCUAAUAUGAUGAAAGAUUUGGG